CCUACGGGCGGCAGCAGUGGGGAAUAUUGGACAAUGGGCGAAAGCCUGAUCCAGCCAUGCCGCGUGUGUGAAGAAGGCCUUCGGGUUGUAAAGCACUUUCAGUGGGGAAGAAAGCCUUGGGGCUAAUACCCUCGAGGAAGGACAUCACCCACAGAAGAAGCACCGGCUAACUCCGUGCCAGCAGCCGCGGUAAUACGGAGGGUGCGAGCGUUAAUCGGAAUUACUGGGCGUAAAGCGCGCGUAGGCGGUCUGAUAAGCCGGUUGUGAAAGCCCCGGGCUCAACCUGGGAACGGCAUCCGGAACUGUCAGGCUAGAGUGCAGGAGAGGAAGGUAGAAUUCCCGGUGUAGCAGUGAAAUGCGUAGAGAUCGGGAGGAAUACCAGUGGCGAAGGCGGCCUUCUGGACUGACACUGACGCUGAGGUGCGAAAGCGUGGGUAGCAAACAGGAUUAGAUACCCUAGUAGUC
This 465-nucleotide ribosomal RNA is filed under the name Vreelandella stevensii. RNAcentral describes it as "partial 16S ribosomal RNA". It matches the Rfam family "Bacterial small subunit ribosomal RNA", at positions 338 to 795 of the family's 1533-position model. Lineage: Bacteria; Pseudomonadati; Pseudomonadota; Gammaproteobacteria; Oceanospirillales; Halomonadaceae. The record is from RNAcentral.